RNAcentral lists this unclassified non-coding RNA (286 nucleotides) under Hevea brasiliensis (rubber tree). The record is from RNAcentral. Lineage: Eukaryota; Viridiplantae; Streptophyta; Magnoliopsida; Malpighiales; Euphorbiaceae.
ACCAUAUGAUGGUGUCUACUGGGACCCACCGCCUUCUGAAAGGUACAACUUCAAAUACCCUCGCCCUUCCAAACCCCGAGCCCCACGAAUCUACGAAGCACAUGUCGGCAUGAGCAGCUCAGAGCCACGUGUAAAUUCGUAUCGUGAGUUUGCAGAUGAUGUUUUACCUCGAAUUAAGGCAAAUAACUAUAAUACUGUCCAGUUGAUGGCCAUAAUGGAACAUUCUUACUAUGGAUCAUUUGGGUAUCAUGUUACAAACUUUUUUGCUGUGAGCAGUAGAUCUGGA